This 492-nucleotide ribosomal RNA is filed under the name uncultured bacterium. Its description in RNAcentral is "partial 16S ribosomal RNA". It matches the Rfam family "Bacterial small subunit ribosomal RNA", at positions 29 to 507 of the family's 1533-position model. The record is from RNAcentral.
AGUGAACGCUGGCGGUAGGCCUAACACAUGCAAGUCGAACGGCAGCACAGUAAGAGCUUGCUCUUACGGGUGGCGAGUGGCGGACGGGUGAGGAAUACAUCGGAAUCUACUUUUUCGUGGGGGAUAACGUAGGGAAACUUACGCUAAUACCGCAUACGACCUACGGGUGAAAGCAGGGGAUCUUCGCACCUUGCGCGUUUGAAUGAGCCGAUGUCGGAUUAGCUAGUUGGCGGGGUAAAGGCCCACCAAGGCGACGAUCCGUAGCUGGUCUGAGAGGAUGAUCAGCCACACUGGAACUGAGACACGGUCCAGACUCCUACGGGAGGCAGCAGUGGGGAAUAUUGGACAAUGGGCGCAAGCCUGAUCCAGCCAUACCGCGUGGGUGAAGAAGGCCUUCGGGUUGUAAAGCCCUUUUGUUGGGAAAGAAAAGCAGCAGGUUAAUACCCCGCUGUUCUGACGGUACCCAAAGAAUAAGCACCGGCUAACUUCGUG